UAGAGAGAAGCUUGCUUCUCUUGAGAGCGGCGGACGGGUGAGUAAUGCCUAGGAAUCUGCCUGGUAGUGGGGGAUAACGUUCGGAAACGGACGCUAAUACCGCAUACGUCCUACGGGAGAAAGCAGGGGACCUUCGGGCCUUGCGCUAUCAGAUGAGCCUAGGUCGGAUUAGCUAGUUGGUGAGGUAAUGGCUCACCAAGGCGACGAUCCGUAACUGGUCUGAGAGGAUGAUCAGUCACACUGGAACUGAGACACGGUCCAGACUCCUACGGGAGGCAGCAGUGGGGAAUAUUGGACAAUGGGCGAAAGCCUGAUCCAGCCAUGCCGCGUGUGUGAAGAAGGUCUUCGGAUUGUAAAGCACUUUAAGUUGGGAGGAAGGGCAGUUACCUAAUACGUAAUUGUUUUGACGUUACCGACAGAAUAAGCACCGGCUAACUCUGUGCCAGCAGCCGCGGUAAUACAGAGGGUGCAAGCGUUAAUCGGAAUUACUGGGCGUAAAGCGCGCGUAGGUGGUUAGUUAAGUUGGAUGUGAAAUCCCCGGGCUCAACCUGGGAACUGCAUUCAAAACUG
Molecule: ribosomal RNA, 570 nt
Filed under: bacterium RBM-C12
Lineage: Bacteria
Description: bacterial SSU rRNA
Rfam family: Bacterial small subunit ribosomal RNA
Source: RNAcentral